RNAcentral lists this long non-coding RNA (2044 nucleotides) under Gossypium barbadense (sea-island cotton). Its description in RNAcentral is "long non-coding RNA (GBAR_LNC011804)". Lineage: Eukaryota; Viridiplantae; Streptophyta; Magnoliopsida; Malvales; Malvaceae. The record is from RNAcentral.
AUAUAUAUAAAAAUUUAAAGUAAACAAUAAUAAAAAAUAUUUUAAAAUAAAUAAAUAGGGUUAUAUAAAGCAUGAAAAUAGUUUUAAAAUGAACGAUGUGCAUAUAGAUUAAUUUAAAAAUAUACAUAUAUACAUAGAGAUAAAAACUUGAAAUAAAAGGGGGCUUAAAGAAAAUAAUAAUAGUAAUAAUAAUAUACAAAACUGUCACUUUGUUAUAUGUAUAAAAAAUAAUUGGAAAUAAACUAUAUGAAUGAUAUGUGAAAAGUAUCAAAAACAUAUAAUAUAACAAAAUAGCCAAGUACACUCAAUAUACAAAAAAAAAAACGUUUAAAAUGGAUAAUAAUUCAAUUUUUAAUAAUCAAUGUUAAAACAAGUUAAAAUAAAUCAUAUACAUAAAUAAUCUAGUAGCAAACAGUAUGUAAAAUAUUUGAAAUAGUACAUAAUAAAACAUUCUAAAAUUAAUAAACAAUAAAAGUAACAAAAAGGAUGCAGGACGUGAUUGAAAGUGGGCCAGAAUUCAGGGUAUCGAUUGCAAAUGAAAAGAGAAGGUCACUGGGGGCUAAUUCGAAACAUGCUUAAACUCGCGGGGAUUAAUUGGGACAAUAUCCCAAACCCAAGCAUAUGUGUGCAAAACGGCAGUGUUUUGCAUGGCUAUUAAAGCCAAAAUUUUUUGUUUAUUUUUAUUUUAACUUCAUUUUCUUUCAAAAAAAAAAGGCAGAGAGCUUUCCUGCUCUCUCUCUCCCUCCUCCCUCUUCUCAUUUGGCUAGGGUAAUAUACCCAUCACGCCGGACCACCGCUCCUCCACCGUAGACGGUGGUCGGGGAGACGUAAAAUGGUCCCCUUAGCCUCGUUUGAAACGCCUUUGAAGGCUAGGCUACCAAAACUGAAAGAAUCGAAGGAGGCCCUCAACCCCCCCUUUUGGGUCCGAUGUCGGCGAUGAAAAAGUGUUCUCCGACGCGCGACCACGAGAUCCAGGUGAGCCCCUCCCUUUUCUUUUUUAUUCUUUGUUUUUUAUGCAUAAAAUAGAUAUCUAAAAAAUGAAAUAAAAUGAAAAAAUGAGAAGAUAAAAGAAACAAAAAAUAUUAAAACAACGACCUUUCUAAUUUUUAUUUUGCGUUUUGCUUUCUAAUCUCCGUAAAAAAAGAAAGGGAUUGAUUUUGGCUUUUUAUAGCCGAGUUACACUGAUUUGUUCUUUGUUUUUUCAUUUUGUUUGAUUCCUUUCGUUUUUUUUUGCUCGUCGUUUUCUCUUUGUUCGUUUCUCCGCUGUUGGUAUUUGCUUGCGUAUGGACCUUCAUUUUGCAGGUCGUGUCAGAGGCUGAUGGUUGGUGCCCCGAGCCGUGGUGGCACACGUGGCAGAGGAGGCAGCGGUUGAAAGUCUGCAACUAGGUUUUUUGCUGCUGAAAAUUUUUAGUUGGUUGGGCUGUCUUGGGCUUUAGGGUUUGUAUUUAAUUGGCUUUGGUUUAGUAGUGGGCUGAUGGGGUUUGGGUAGUUUGUAAUUUGGGCUAGGUGACUCUUGGAUUUUAUUUUUAUUUAUUGUAUUUGGUGUUUUAUUUUGGUUUGUUGGUAUGGGCCAAAAUUGGCUGCUACACCUACAAUUCAUAUUAAAGUUAGAAAAACAUGAAAUAUAAAAUAAUAAGGGUCACAAUUUGGGAUCCAAGGAUCACGCCAACAUUGAAUAUUCUUACCAUCACCAACGGACCAUAAGAGGUUUUCAUAAAUAAGGGGCCAAACCUUAGCAAUUGAUCUCUGUAGGAAAGAACAACGCCCCCUUGAAAUAUUUUCGGGUAAACCACUAGGAACUCCGUACUUUGAUCGAAGGACACGAACCCACAAAGCAUUGACAUUAGAGACAAUGUUAAAACCAAUCUUCAUCAUGAAAGAGGUAUUAUGAUCUUUCAAACGCCUUAGACCAAGGCCCCCAUGACCUUUCGGUUGACACACCGAGUCCCAACUAACCAAUGCUACCUUCGAGUUGCCAUUAGAGGAUCCCCAAAUGAAUUUUCGCACAAUUCAUUCGAUCUCAUCGCACAAACCUUUAGGAACC